This 3615-nucleotide long non-coding RNA is filed under the name Strigops habroptila (Kakapo). RNAcentral's name for it is "lncRNA (ENSSHBG00005003973.1)". Lineage: Eukaryota; Metazoa; Chordata; Aves; Psittaciformes; Psittacidae. The record is from RNAcentral.
AGUUUCUAGUUUUAUUUUAACAAUCUUGCUUUUUAAAAAAUACAAGUUCUGAUUAAUGCCAGGGGGAUGCCAAGUGUCCACUGGCCACAGGCCUUCUCUCACUUCAGUUUCUCCUCCUGGGAGUAGUCGUCUCUUUUGUCAGGAUAGCAAACGGAGCAAUAAAAUGCUAAAUGGCUGAGUUGUGUUAAAAGGCUUGUAACAGAAUCCCAAGGGGCAUUAUGGCACAACAUCAUUUGGCAAAGUGUUACUGACCUGGAGCAGUAAUUUUAAUGCUGGCAGAAUAAAUGGUUGGUGUGCAAGGUGCAUCAGGUGAGGUAUUGUUUGCACUUUAACGGUACCACUGUCACUCUUUUCUGCAAACGGAUCUAUUAUGAGGUGAAAGGUUUAAAUAGAAACAAGAGCUCAAUUACCAAAGAGAAGGGUAUUCAAAAGGAGAAGCAGGUUUAUAAACAAGACAUUGAAGAGCUUUAAAUGUGUUUCUCUGUAGUAAGUAAUUAAGUGGCAGCAGAGCUGCCCUUUUAGUUGCAAGGGGACUUCUGUGCAGCCAGCUAUUACGAGAGCUUUAUACUCUCCAAACAGCACAUUCACUAACAACCUAGAAACCAUGGCACUACAAAGAACUGCUUUUUCUACAAAGGAAUUCUGUGCAACAGAAGCAUCAUUUUGCAGGGUCAUCUGUCCCAGGCAACCUUUGCAUCCACGGACAAGUCUGAAUUGUGAUUUCCCUGUCACUGGUUUGCAUAUGCCAUGGCUAGAUAAACUUCAAAUAUGCCAUUUUCUCAAUAAUGUCCUAACUGGAAAAAGGCACUCACUUGAAACAGCAACUUUGUUAUGUGCUUUGAAAGGGUACUGAGCUGAGACUCAAUAAUUCUGCUGUGAUUCUUGUAGUGUCUCAACGGUGCUUACACUUCAGUGUGUUAGGGAUUAGCAAUUUGGUGCUAUCAUGACCUCAGCCAUAGGUGCAGCAAAACAUAGUUGAGGGUGAAUAGCUUUUUAUUUCCUUCACCUUGUUUGUGGCAAAGUUGUUUAGCUGGUUUUUUGGUUUUGGGGUUUUUUCCUUCAGCUGUUUGACUGAAGCAUGGAGUACUUCUGGGUACAGGUAUCAUCUUAUUCUCUCCUGAAUAACACUGUAGUUCUUGCUGAGCUUUUACUAUCUGAACGCUGAAAAAGGAAGGUGCAAGGAAACAUAUCUGUACAAGCAAAAUCUACCUGUAAGUACACCUCCUUCCGUCAGGAACUUAGCAUCCCCUCGACACAUCUCACAUCACAUAGGAAAAGUUCACAGUACCAAGUUUUACAAUCACAGUCACUCACAGCACCAAGAUUGUCCAGACAAAAAGAAGUUACCGAAGAGAAAGGCCACUGGCCAAAAUUCACACAAUUGCCCAUGUAAGGGCUCAGGUUAAAAAUAAAGCACUGGUGGGAAAGUUAAGCCUGGCCUUUGCCAACUCUCCACUUGGCACGGGGAGAGCAGCGAGUCACCUGUCCUAUAGCUGCAGCUCUGAACAGAACAGCUCUAUUGCCCCAGCUUUCCAAGGGGCUUUUCUAGCUCCUCCAAACUCAUCAGCCACCAAGAGCUGGGGGAGAAGAGGCCCAUGGCACCCCCACUUCUGCCUGUGGGAGCUGGAAGUCACCAGACUGUAAACAUUUUGUUGUAGCAGUCCACUGGAGCAGGCAGUUGAUUCCACCCUGUGAAAUGGGAAGUGGGAUAGAGGCUCAGUCCCACUGAAGCCCAAGCCCUGAAGGAAAGAAUGGAUGUGUGUGCAGGAGAGGUCUGGGCUGUGCCUGCAGUCCUGCUGUUGGCUCGGGGUAGCAGUUGGUUGUGCUUCACUUCCCCUUUCCGUCAGGACAGCUCAAAAAAAGGCUCAGGAUGUGAAACUGGCAUUUUCCCAAUGAAUGCAGCCUUGCCCAGAUAACAAAAUAUAAACCUGGGAGGGGCAAAGUCCUUCCUCCAAAUGUGGCCUCUGUGCUCCUGCUUCCAUUGGGCUGGUUUCAGGAGCAGCUGUAGCCAGACAGAAGAGCAGGCCUUAACCUCCACCGAAUGUUCAUGGAGCUUAAAAACAAAGAUAACCAUAUUUUUAUGAGAGAUUACUAACAAUUAACUUUUACCCCACCUACUCUUACCCACAUGCACAUGGAGAACAGGAUGCUGGUACAUGGGCUAUCACCAAAGCUCGGGUGCCCUUGCUUUCUGUGCUGAAAAGUGAGGCUCACCAAGCCCGGUGCCCACCCCGAGCAGCACCAGCAUCCUCUGCUCUGCUGUUUGGGAUGGGGCAGUUUGCAGGCUGAGCCCUGUCUCUGUGCUCUCAUGCAGACAUGGAAGGGGGCCAGAGGAAAUCUUUCCAGCCUUCCCAGCCUAUGGAAAGGAAGACCGUAUGCUCUGCAUAAAAGAAAACCAAUGCUGAUUCCAUAAACAUGCAUAUUCACAGAAAUGAGAGCCCCAGCACCUGGGUGCUUCUGGCUGAAGCGAGCAGUAGGCUGCUGUAAACCCUGUUCUCACCAGAAAUAAAUGUCUCGGUGGUAGUACUGAAAUGGAGCCUAAGCUCCUGCAUUAUGUCCAUGCUAGAUUUGCGUGUUUCUUUAGCAUGUGAAGUCAACAUAAGAUGCAAAAGGUUGAAGCACAGAGGUAGACGGUUUUGGCUUGGAGAAAGUGGCUCCUAGGUUUGAAAUGACCAGCUAGCUGGCAUGCUCCCAGAGGUCCUCCAGCUGGGAUACUCUCUGCUGCUGGGAAACAGAGGCGACAGCUUUGCAAGACCUAGUGAAACCAAAGCGUGCUUCCUUUUGCCCUGCCCGCACCCCAAAGGCACGUCUCUGCUGGGCAGGGCCCUCUCGCAUCUUGUCGUUGUGGUCAGCAGGAGUUCUUAAUGGAGGGGACAAAAUCCACCGUUUGGUCCCUGUUUGUUGUGUAGGAGGGAAAGGAAAAACUAAACUUUUAUGGUCACAAAGCAACGCGAUGUCCUGGCGGGGAGCAGGAGAGGGGGAGUGGGACCCUCCGAACAGCACGGAGGGGCAGGAGCGCUAGGAGAGGACUCGACGUGAAGGGCAGUUGUGUUUUCCAGGGACAAGCGCCAGCCGUAGGCCCGUGCAGGUAGUCGGGUUUGCGCUGAGCUUCCGCUGCUGGAUGUGUCCGCGGGAGAGGGAGGAGCGCGGGAGCCCGGCGGGGCAGCCCGCGGCCCCUUCCCCUGCUCGGCCGCGGCGGCGGGAACCUGAGCAGGACCGCAGAGACACUGCGGGGAGCCCCUCGGGGGGCGGCGGCCGGGGGGAGGCUCAGCCCUGCGCGGUGACCGCCAAGGCGUUCACGUACCCGUGGGGGCCCACGUCGGCGUCCGAGAGCCCGUGGGCCAGCGGGGCUGCGGCGGCGGGAGCGGCGGCGCCGGGGCCGUACUUGGCGGGCGGCGGGGCGGCGGCGGGGCGCAGGAGGCAGCAGCAGCGGGGCGGAGAGCGCCAGCGUGAUGCGGAAGCCGGUGGUGCCCAGCGGCAGGCGCAGCUCGAUCAGCUCCAGGAUGGAGGUGCCCAGGAUCAGCGCCGCCUUGGGCGUGAAGGCGAUGGAGUAGAUGAGCCAGGCGAGGUGCGCGUAGGCAAAGUCGCCGCCGCGGGGAGGAACCCCGGCCCCGC